RNAcentral lists this ribosomal RNA (253 nucleotides) under uncultured bacterium. Its description in RNAcentral is "partial 16S ribosomal RNA". It matches the Rfam family "Bacterial small subunit ribosomal RNA", at positions 524 to 776 of the family's 1533-position model. The record is from RNAcentral.
UACGUAGGGGGCAAGCGUUGUCCGGAAUCAUUGGGCGUAAAGCGCGUGUAGGCGGUUCGGUAAGUCUGCUGUGAAAGCCCAGGGCUCAACCCUGGGAUGCCGGUGGAUACUGUCGGGCUAGAGUACGGAAGAGGCGAGUGGAAUUCCCGGUGUAGCGGUGAAAUGCGCAGAUAUCGGGAGGAACACCAAUUGCGAAGGCAGCUCGCUGGGACGUUACUGACGCUGAGACGCGAAAGCGUGGGGAGCAAACAGG